Non-coding RNA from Xyrichtys novacula (pearly razorfish), 69 nucleotides. NCBI's taxonomy places the organism in Eukaryota, Metazoa, Chordata, Actinopteri, Labriformes, Labridae. The record is from the annotation of a GenBank genome assembly.
CUGGAGAUGAUUAGACCUUUUAAAACCUGAAAUUCUGUGAAGGUUCUGUAUUCAUACUGUCUGAUCCAG